Molecule: ribosomal RNA, 492 nt
Filed under: uncultured bacterium
Lineage: Bacteria
Description: partial 16S ribosomal RNA
Rfam family: Bacterial small subunit ribosomal RNA
Source: RNAcentral
AGUGAACGCUGGCGGUAGGCCUAACACAUGCCAGUCGAACGGCAGCACAGUAAGAGCUUGCUCUUACGGGUGGCGAGUGGCGGACGGGUGAGGAAUACAUCGGACUCUACUUUUUCGUGGGGGAUAACGUAGGGAAACUUACGCUAAUACCGCAUACGACCUACGGGUGAAAGCAGGGGAUCUUCGGACCUUGCGCGAUUGAAUGAGCCGAUGUCGGAUUAGCUAGUUGGCGGGGUAAAGGCCCACCAAGGCGACGAUCCGUAGCUGGUCUGAGAGGAUGAUCAGCCACACUGGAACUGAGACACGGUCCAGACUCCUACGGGAGGCAGCAGUGGGGAAUAUUGGACAAUGGGCGCAAGCCUGAUCCAGCCAUACCGCGUGGGUGAAGAAGGCCUUCGGGUUGUAAAGCCCUUUUGUUGGGAAAGAAAAGCAGCAGGUUAAUACCCCGCUGUUCUGACGGUACCCAAAGAAUAAGCACCGGCUAACUUCGUG